UCUCCCCUCUCUUCUCUCUAUCCGCUAUGGCUCUACAAGUCUGGGAGACGCUGAAGGAGGCGAUCGUGGCCUACACAGGCCUCUCUCCCUCCACCUUCUUCACAGUCUUGGCUCUUGGAUUGGCCAUUUACUAUCUCAUUUCAAGUUUCUUCGCCCCCUCUGACUACGGAACCCACACUAGGGAUUUGGGAGAGCAGCUCCAGCCUCUUCCUCCUCCUGUCCAAGUCGGUGAAAUUUCUGAAGAUGAGUUGAAGCAAUACGAUGGCUCCGAUCCCAAGAAGCCUCUUCUCAUGGCUAUCAAGGGCCAGAUCUACGAUGUUUCUCAGAGCAGGAUGUUCUAUGGACCCGGGGGGCCCUAUGCCCUUUUUGCUGGAAAGGAUGCUAGCAGAGCUCUUGCAAAAAUGUCUUUUGAAGAAAAAGAUCUAACUGGGGAUAUCUCUGGUCUCGGUCCAUUCGAACUCGAAGCCUUGCAGGAUUGGGAAUACAAAUUCAUGAGUAAAUAUGUUAAAGUUGGGACCGUCAAGAAGUCAGUUGCUGAAGGUGAUGCUGCAGCUGGUGAGCCUGCAGAAUCAAGCACUGCUGAAGUUAGCAAACCUGCCCAAGACAGUCACUCGGAAUCUCGAGAUGAUAAAGCUGAGGAAACCCCUGCUGCUGCAAAUGUCGAUUAAUAUUCUUCGGACUGCAGAUGCCCCUUCGGAUGGAUAUAGGAAAGGAGAACAAUGUACGUGUGGUCCAUGUUUCAGUAAUCUUGUUUCAUAGAUAAGUGAAAUCUAGUUGUGUAGGGUGAUGAUAUUACAGGUGGAGUUGAGGCUUGAGUUUAUGUUUACUAUUUGUUCAAUAAACAAUCUGACAAUAAGAUAAUUAGUCUUUGAAUUUGGAAAUGGACUUGAUCUGAG
RNAcentral lists this unclassified non-coding RNA (896 nucleotides) under Hevea brasiliensis (rubber tree). Lineage: Eukaryota; Viridiplantae; Streptophyta; Magnoliopsida; Malpighiales; Euphorbiaceae. The record is from RNAcentral.